AAACCAACUGGGAUUGCCUUAGUAACGGCGAGUGAAGCGGCAAAAGCUCAAAUUUGAAAUCUGGUACCUUUGGUGCCCGAGUUGUAAUUUGGAGAGUACCACUUUGGGACUGUACUUUGCCUAUGUUCCUUGGAACAGGACGUCAUGGAGGGUGAGAAUCCCGUGUGGCGAGGGUGUCAGUUCUUUGUAAAGGGUGCUCGAAGAGUCGAGUUGUUUGGGAAUGCAGCUCUAAGUGGGUGGUAAAUUCCAUCUAAAGCUAAAUACAGGCGAGAGACCGAUAGCGAACAAGUACAGUGAUGGAAAGAUGAAAAGAACUUUGAAAAGAGAGUGAAAAAGUACGUGAAAUUGUUGAAAGGGAAGGGCAUUUGAUCAGACAUGGUGUUUUGCGCCCCUUGCCUCUCGUGGGCUUGGGACUCUCGCAGCUCACUGGGCCAGCAUCGGUUUUGGCGGCCGGAAAAAACCUAGGGAAUGUGGCUCUGCGCCUCGGUGUAGAGUGUUAUAGCCCUGGGGAAUACGGCCAGCCGGGACCGAGGACUGCGAU
This 541-nucleotide ribosomal RNA is filed under the name Nakaseomyces glabratus. Its description in RNAcentral is "LSU rRNA". It matches the Rfam family "Eukaryotic large subunit ribosomal RNA", at positions 62 to 600 of the family's 3401-position model. The record is from RNAcentral. Lineage: Eukaryota; Fungi; Ascomycota; Saccharomycetes; Saccharomycetales; Saccharomycetaceae.